UGAGUGUUUCAGGAAGAGGCAGCAUUAAUUGCUGCCUCAAGACCGUGAGGCUGAGCUCACAAUAGGCAAACACAUUACUUUGUAAAUGAAGGAUUAAGUCAGAAAACCUUGCUAAUAACCUACUUCAGAAACUCCAUAAUCACCGUGGUGUGAUGGUAAGGGAAUGAAAGGCCUAUAUUUAUUCAGAUGGAUUUUUAGAAAAAUAAAUUAUGAAGAACAAAGCCAUCAUGAAGAAUACAAAGAAUUGGUGUAUUUCUCCUCAAUGACUUAAAGGAAGAGUUGAAGUAGCUGAAGUGUUUAUCAGAGAGAAGUCGCUGAUCGUGUCUCCAGACACACAGAAACUGCAGAACGGUAAUACAGUAAUCUAGGAACAGCUUUGGUGUUUGGAUGCUCCCAGCUGAAUUGGCAAUAGAGAUGUCUUAAACUACUUCUGUCUUUCUGACUCAUCUUGUCCAAACUAUUCUGGGUGCUUCCUGAAAACAAAUAAAAUUUGAAAGCCAUUGAAACUAUUUCUCUAGCAACCAGAAAUCUUCCUUUUCCUUUCUUUUUGGAGGCAAAAUCUUCUCUCCCAUCAAAUGUCAACAGUGAAGAAUCCUCACCCACAUAUAUGGUAGAAAGGGCACUCAAGUCUAACAUUUAGUAUAAUUAUGUAAUAGCUCCCCCACAUUAGUCAGACCUCGGAUAUAGGAAGAUUGUUAAAUUAAGGAAGAUUUAAAAUUAUAUUGCAGCAUCCUUGUCAUUAAGUUGUCCUUCUGAAAAAGCAUACA
Molecule: long non-coding RNA, 767 nt
Organism: Parus major (Great Tit)
Lineage: Eukaryota; Metazoa; Chordata; Aves; Passeriformes; Paridae
Exons: 3
Source: RefSeq, a predicted model, not a curated record